This 253-nucleotide ribosomal RNA is filed under the name uncultured bacterium. RNAcentral describes it as "partial 16S ribosomal RNA". It matches the Rfam family "Bacterial small subunit ribosomal RNA", at positions 524 to 776 of the family's 1533-position model. The record is from RNAcentral.
UACGUAGGGGGCAAGCGUUGUUCGGAUUUACUGGGCGUAAAGGGCGCGUAGGCGGCGUGACAAGUCACUUGUGAAAUCUCCGGGCUUAACUCGGAACGGUCAAGUGAUACUGUCGUGCUAGAGUACAGAAGGGGCAACUGGAAUUCUCGGUGUAGCGGUGAAAUGCGUAGAUAUCGGGAGGAACACCAGUGGCGAAGGCGAGUCUCUGGGAUGAUGCUGACGCUGAGGCGCGAAAGCUAGGGUAGCAAACGGG